RNAcentral lists this ribosomal RNA (443 nucleotides) under uncultured bacterium. RNAcentral describes it as "partial 16S ribosomal RNA". It matches the Rfam family "Bacterial small subunit ribosomal RNA", at positions 338 to 795 of the family's 1533-position model. The record is from RNAcentral.
CCUACGGGGGGCAGCAGUGGGGAAUAUUGGGCAAUGGAGGCAACUCUGACCCAGCAACGCCGCGUGAAUGAUGAAGGUCUUCGGAUUGUAAAGUUCUUUUCUAAGGGAAGAAGAAAGUGACGGUACCUUAGGAAUAAGCCUCGGCUAACUACGUGCCAGCAGCCGCGGUAAUACGUAGGAGGCAAGCGUUGUUCGGAAUCACUGGGUGUAAAGGGAGCGUAGACGGCUGAGCAAGCCUGAAGUGAAAGGCGGGGGCCCAACCCCCGGACUGCUUUGGGAACUGUACGGCUGGAGUGCAGGAGAGGUAAGUGGAAUUCCUAGUGUAGCGGUGAAAUGCGUAGAUAUUAGGAGGAACACCAGUGGCGAAGGCGGCUUACUGGACUGUAACUGACGUUGAGGCUCGAAAGCGUGGGGAGCAAACAGGAUUAGAUACCCGUGUAGUC